Molecule: long non-coding RNA, 242 nt
Filed under: Amborella trichopoda
Lineage: Eukaryota; Viridiplantae; Streptophyta; Magnoliopsida; Amborellales; Amborellaceae
Description: long non-coding RNA (ATRI_LNC003603)
Source: RNAcentral
UAGACUCCAAUUUGACUGAAACAUGCCUAACAAGUUCCCUAAUCACUAGCUCUUCAUUCCUGUAGUUCUUCAUGUCCCAACUAGAAAGAUCGGGAAUUUCUUUCAACCCAUUUCUCCAUUGUUGUUGUGUGGGUGAGAAAAAGGCGGUGGAAUCAAUAAGAGCUUUGUUGAGAUGGGGUGUGAAGCUCUUUCCUGUAUCUUCAUCACAGAAGUUCAGGAAAACUGCAAUGGAUUUGAUUAGG